GACGAACGCUGGCGGCGUGCUUAACACAUGCAAGUCGAACGGAAAGGCCCUGCUUUUGUGGGGUGCUCGAGUGGCGAACGGGUGAGUAACACGUGAGUAACCUGCCCUUGACUUUGGGAUAACUUCAGGAAACUGGGGCUAAUACCGGAUAGGAGCUCCUGCUGCAUGGUGGGGGUUGGAAAGUUUCGGCGGUUGGGGAUGGACUCGCGGCUUAUCAGCUUGUUGGUGGGGUAGUGGCUUACCAAGGCUUUGACGGGUAGCCGGCCUGAGAGGGUGACCGGCCACAUUGGGAAUGAGAUACGGCCCAGACUCCUACGGGAGGCAGCAGUGGGGAAUAUUGCACAAUGGGCGCAAGACUGAUGCAGCAACGCCGCGUGCGGGAUGACGGCCUUCGGGUUGUAAACCGCUUUCGCCUGUGACGAAGCGUGAGUGACGGUAAUGGGUAAAGAAGCACCGGCUAACUACGUG
This 468-nucleotide ribosomal RNA is filed under the name uncultured bacterium. RNAcentral's name for it is "partial 16S ribosomal RNA". It matches the Rfam family "Bacterial small subunit ribosomal RNA", at positions 28 to 507 of the family's 1533-position model. The record is from RNAcentral.